Neopsephotus bourkii (Bourke's parrot) is the source of this 1552-nucleotide long non-coding RNA. RefSeq lists it as uncharacterized. NCBI's taxonomy places the organism in Eukaryota, Metazoa, Chordata, Aves, Psittaciformes, Psittacidae. The transcript has 2 exons. The record is from RefSeq and is a predicted model, not a curated record.
GAGGGGGGGAGGCCUAAAAUGCAAAUAUUAAAGGCAAAUUAAAGGACAUGUCAGUGGAAGGAUAAUUGGGGCAAAAAGGGUUUCCAUGGAAACCCUGGUUUUCAUAUUGCAGGAGGAUGCUGUCACCCCGGCAACUGAUUCCCCCCCCCCCCCAAAAAAUAUAGGCCCUGCAGCAGUAUUCCUCCAGGACUGGGGAGCUCUGGGAUGGGGGACACUGGGGUGGGUGGGAGCCAAUGGAGCAGAAGUGUGUCAGGAGAAGCUGGAGCAACCAUGGCAGGUCCCCAGGGAUUCUCCUGCUGACAUGGCCAUGGAUACUUGGGGACCCCCAGCAGGAGCCACACGGCUCCCUGGAGCUGGCUUUGAGUGGGGAGAAACCUCUGCAAAGCCUCUCAUCCUCAGACCGCUGGAAGGAGAAAGGAUGCACCUCCCUGGUGUGAGAUAGAGCCCCUGGUCCAGAGCAGCCUCUCCCCAGCACGAGGUGCCCAGGGUGCCCUGGCACCCUCCCACCAUGGGGUUUGGUAAGAUGUCCAUCCCCUUUCCACCUACUGGGCUUCUUCCCUUUCCCAAGUGGAAGAUGCCUGUGGGGCUGGAAAGGUACCUCCAAUCCUGCCUGAUCCAUCCUACCCCCAUCCUCAUCCUUACACUGUUCCCAUCUCCAUCCCAUCCCAACUCCAUCCCACCUGCAUCCCCAUCCCACCCCAACUCUAUCCCACCUGCAUCCCUAUUCAAUCCCAACUCCAUCCCACCUGCAUCCCCAUUCCAUCCCAUCCUAUCCCCACCCUCAUCCUCAUCUCUGUCAUCAUCUUAUGCCCCUCCAUCCCACCCCACUCUCACCUCCUCCCAGCCCGCUGGCUCCAGAUGCUUCCCCCUGCCCCAUCCUCUCCGCAAGGCACCAUCCUGCACCCUGGUCCUGCUGGAGUUUGGGACAGCCUUGGGUUUGCAUUGCUCUUUGGAAGGUGGUUGGGAAGGAGGGGAGUGCUCAGCCUGUCUGUGCAAACACAUCUCCACCACCCGAGCAUCUCCCCAGCUGCAUUAACCCCUCGGCAGCCAGAGUGCACAGGCACUGCCGAGGGGCUUGAACUAUGUGAAAACACAGGAUUUGGGCACAAUCUUCAUUCUUUCCUGCAGAGACCGUUAAUGAGCAGUGGUGGGAUGGGGAACCCAAGCAACAGCCGAUGUUCAAAUACGGGACUGGAAACAGAGGUGAAGGACAACUGCAGUCCUCGGGCUGGAGGCUCUGCACUUCUGAGCACCCAGAGAUGCUCCUGCUGACUUUUCCUCGUUGUUUUCAGGGACUGAGACUUUCCUUCAACUGUUUCUUUUUGUAAAAACUCAUAAUGCAACUUUUUUUUAAUUAAAACAAAAGAAGAACGCAGACCCAACGCUAUGGCCAGGCUGUGAGCCUGGCACCAGCCCAGCGACUGGAAAUGAAGCAAGACCAGACCAACCUUGUCAUGGGGAUAUUAGUAAAAGUGAAGGGAGAAAAAUCGAAGUGUUUUCAUGGAAAUUUCCAUUUUUGAAGAAAAAAAAAAUAAAAGAAGGACUAAACUUG